This 301-nucleotide ribosomal RNA is filed under the name uncultured bacterium. RNAcentral describes it as "partial 16S ribosomal RNA". It matches the Rfam family "Bacterial small subunit ribosomal RNA", at positions 509 to 808 of the family's 1533-position model. The record is from RNAcentral.
CAGUCGCCACGGUAAUACGUAGGUGGCAAGCGUUGUCCGGAAUUAUUGGGCGUAAAGCGCGCGCAGGCGGUUUCUUAAGUCUGAUGUGAAAGCCCCCGGCUUAACCGGGGAGGGUCAUUGGAAACUGGGAGACUUAGAGUGCAGAAGAGGAGAGUGGAAUUCCAUGUGUAGCGGUGAAAUGCGUAGAUAUAUGGAGGAACACCAGUGGCGAAGGCGACUCUCUGGUCUGUAACUGACGCUGAGGCGCGAAAGCGUGGGGAGCAAACAGGAUUAGAUACCCCUGUAGUCCCUGUCUCUUAUU